This 427-nucleotide ribosomal RNA is filed under the name Pseudomonas sp. Its description in RNAcentral is "partial 16S ribosomal RNA". It matches the Rfam family "Bacterial small subunit ribosomal RNA", at positions 355 to 774 of the family's 1533-position model. Lineage: Bacteria; Pseudomonadati; Pseudomonadota; Gammaproteobacteria; Pseudomonadales; Pseudomonadaceae. RNAcentral also lists the same sequence under 2 other names. The record is from RNAcentral.
UGGGGAAUUUUGGACAAUGGACGCAAGUCUGAUCCAGCCAUUCCGCGUGCAGGAUGAAGGCCUUCGGGUUGUAAACUGCUUUUGUACGGAACGAAAAGGCUCUGAUUAAUACUCGGGGCUCAUGACGGUACCGUAAGAAUAAGCACCGGCUAACUACGUGCCAGCAGCCGCGGUAAUACGUAGGGUGCAAGCGUUAAUCGGAAUUACUGGGCGUAAAGCGUGCGCAGGCGGUUAUAUAAGACAGAUGUGAAAUCCCCGGGCUCAACCUGGGAACUGCAUUUGUGACUGUAUAGCUAGAGUACGGUAGAGGGGGAUGGAAUUCCGCGUGUAGCAGUGAAAUGCGUAGAUAUGCGGAGGAACACCGAUGGCGAAGGCAAUCCCCUGGACCUGUACUGACGCUCAUGCACGAAAGCGUGGGGAGCAAACA